Molecule: ribosomal RNA, 461 nt
Filed under: uncultured bacterium
Lineage: Bacteria
Description: partial 16S ribosomal RNA
Rfam family: Bacterial small subunit ribosomal RNA
Source: RNAcentral
CCUACGGGAGGCAGCAGUGAGGAAUAUUGGUCAAUGGGCGGGAGCCUGAACCAGCCAAGUCGCGUGAGGGAAGACGGUCCUAUGGAUUGUAAACCUCUUUAGGCGGGGAGCAAUGCCGGGCACGCGUGCCCGGAGGGAGAGUACCCGCAGAAUAAGCAUCGGCUAACUCCGUGCCAGCAGCCGCGGUAAUACGGAGGAUGCGAGCGUUAUCCGGAAUCAUUGGGCGUAAAGCGUUCGUAGGCGGCAAGGUAAGUCUGAUGUUAAAGCCCGGGGCUCAACUCCGGUUCGGCAUUGGAUACUAUCUAGCUAGAAUGUGGUAGAGGUAAAGGGAAUUCCUGGUGUAGCGGUGAAAUGCGUAGAUAUCAGGAGGAACAUCGGUGGCGAAAGCGCUUUACUGGACCAUUAUUGACGCUGAGGAACGAAAGCCAGGGGAGCAAAUGGGAUUAGAUACCCGAGUAGUC